RNAcentral lists this ribosomal RNA (297 nucleotides) under uncultured fungus. Its description in RNAcentral is "partial 18S ribosomal RNA". It matches the Rfam family "Eukaryotic small subunit ribosomal RNA", at positions 73 to 372 of the family's 1831-position model. The record is from RNAcentral. Lineage: Eukaryota; Fungi.
UNCUACAAGCGAAACUGCGAAUGGCUCAUUAUAUAAGUUAUCGUUUAUUUGAUAGUACCUUACUACAUGGAUAACCGUGGUAAUUCUAGAGCUAAUACAUGCUGAAAAUCCCGACUUCGGAAGGGAUGUAUUUAUUAGAUUCAAAACCAAUGCCCUUCGGGGCUCCAAUGGUGAUUCAUGAUAACUUCUCGAAUCGCACGGCCCCGCGCCGGCGAUGGUUCAUUCAAAUUUCUUCCCUAUCAACUUUCGAUGCUACGGUAGUGUCCUAGCAUGGUUGCAACGGGUAACGGGGAAUAA